GACCCACCUCUGCUCCUCGCCCUCCAGCAGGCGCCUGUAGGUGGCGAUCUCGAUGUCCAGGCCCAGCUUGGAGUUCAUCACCUCCUGGUACUCCCUGAUCAGGCAGGCCAUGUCCUGCUUGGCCUUCUGCAGGGCACCCUCCAGCUCGGCCAACUUGCAGCGGGCAUCGCUGAGGGCCGCCUCACCCUGCUGCUCAGACUGAGCCACCGCAGCCUCCAGCUUGGAAUUCUGAAGAGAACAGAGAGAACAAGGACCAACUCACGUCCCGCACACCCACCUCAACCUCCCAAUACACAGUUGAGGAAACUGACGUUGGACGAAGGAGUGGGCAGUGACUCAGUUGCAGCAGAAAAGUUGAAAUAUCUAUUUCUCACUGUAUACAAAAACCAAAUUAAAAUGGAUUAAAGACUUAAAUAUAAGACCUCAGACUAUGAAACUACUAGAAGAAAACAUUGAGGAAAUGCUUAGGGCAUUGACCUGGACAAAGAUUUCUUGAUUGAGACCUCAAAACCAAAGGCAACCAAAGCAAAAAAUGGGCAAAUGGGAUCACAUCGAGCUAAAAGAACUUCUGCACACCAAAGGAAACAAUCAACAAGUUGAAGAAAUGACCUACAGAAUGGAAGAAAUAUUUGCAAACUAUUCAACUGACAAGGAAUUCGUAGCUGCAAUAUAUAAGGAACUCAAACAACUCAAUAGCAAGUAAACCAAAUAAUCUGAUUUUAAAAUGGGCAAAAGAUCUGAAUAGACAUUUCUCAAAAGAAGACAUAUACAUGACCAACAGGUAUAUUGAAAAUGCUCAACAUAUCAUCAAAGAAAUACAAAUCAAUACCACAAUAAGAUUAUCAUCUCAACCCAAUUAAAAUGACUUUUAUCAAAAAGACAAAAAAAUUAUGGAUGCUGGCAAGGAUGUGGAGAAAGGGGAACACUUGUACACUGCUAGUGGGAUGUAAGUUACUACAGCCACUAUGGAAAACAGUAUGGAGUGUCCUCCAAAAGCUAAAAAUAGAACCACCAGGUGAUCCAGCAAUCCCACUACUAGGUAUACAUCCAAAAGAAAGAAAAUUCUUAUAUCAAAGAGAUGUCUGCACUCCCACGUUUAUUGCAGCGCUAUUCACAAUAGCCAAGAUUUGGAAUCAAACUAAGUGUCCAUCAAUGGAUGAAUAAAGAAAGUAUGUUACAGAUACACAAUGGAAUAUUAUUCAGCCAUAAAAAGGAAUGAAAUCCUGUCAUUUGCAACAACAUGGAUGGAACUGGAGGACAUUAUGUUAGGGAAAAUAAUUGAGGUACAGAAAGACAAAUUUCAGAUGUUCUUACACAUAUGCGAGAGCUAAAAAAAUUGAUCUCAUCAGAUAGAGAGUAGAAUGAUGGUUACCAGAGGCUGGGAAGGGUAAUGGGGAGGGGAAGAUAAAGACGUGUUAAUGAGUACAAAAAUACAGUUAGAUAACAGAAAUGAGAUCUAGUGUUCAGUAGCACAAUAGAAUGACUAUAGUUAAUCAUUUAUUGUGUAUUUCAAAAUAACUAAAGGAGUAGGCUUGGAAUGAUCCCAACACAAAGAAAUAAUAAAUGUUUGAGGUGAUGGAUAUUCCAAGUACUCUGAUUUGAUCAGUACACAGUUUAUGCUUAUCUCAAAAUAUCUUAUGUAG
This is a long non-coding RNA of Homo sapiens (human), 1643 nucleotides long. The record is from Ensembl. Lineage: Eukaryota; Metazoa; Chordata; Mammalia; Primates; Hominidae.